UACGAAGGGGGCGAGCGUUGUCCGGAUUUAUUGGGCGUAAAGAGCGUGUAGGCGGCCAGGUAGGUCUGCUGUGAAAACUCGAGGCUCAACCUCGAGACGUCGGCGGAAACUAUCUGGCUAGAGUCCGGAAGAGGAGAGUGGAAUUCCUGGUGUAGCGGUGAAAUGCGCAGAUAUCAGGAAGAACACCCGUGGCGAAGGCGGCUCUCUGGGACGGUACUGACGCUGAGACGCGAAAGCGUGGGGAGCGAACAGG
RNAcentral lists this ribosomal RNA (253 nucleotides) under uncultured bacterium. Its description in RNAcentral is "partial 16S ribosomal RNA". It matches the Rfam family "Bacterial small subunit ribosomal RNA", at positions 524 to 776 of the family's 1533-position model. The record is from RNAcentral.